This 1744-nucleotide ribosomal RNA is filed under the name Marginopora vertebralis. RNAcentral describes it as "SSU rRNA". It matches the Rfam family "Eukaryotic small subunit ribosomal RNA", at positions 37 to 1454 of the family's 1831-position model. The record is from RNAcentral. Lineage: Eukaryota; Foraminifera; Miliolida; Soritidae.
UAAUAUAUUAACCAGAAUGUUUAAAUUAGUGUUAUAAUAUAUAAUGUAUACAUACUAAUGCAACUGCGAAUAGCUGUUUAAUACAGUCGUAAUUGUAUUGACUUAGUAUAAUGUUAAUAAUAGUUAUUUAUAGGAUAACUAAGGGAAAGUUUGGCUAAUACGUUUUAACAGUAUUAUAAUUCUUAAUACACAUAUAAUAAUAUUAUAAUAUGAUAAAUAUUAUAUAAAUAUUUUAAUACAUUUAUUUGUAUUAAUAUAUAGAGUUGACUUUAUAAUAUUUAUUUAUUAUAAAGCAUGUCAAACAAGCAUCUAUAGCAUCAAGUCACAAUGUUGGCAUGUGUAUUAUUGAACCUUCAAAGCAUUUACGCAUUCGGAGGAGUAGUUUCUGAUCCCGUCGAAGGUGCCUGAGAGACGGCACUUAGUUCUAAGGAACGCAGCAGGCGCGUAAAUUGCCCAAUGACAAAACAUGUUAUAAUAAAAUAUAUAAUGUAUAUAUAUUGAAUACUCAAUAUUUAAUUGAGGCAGUGACAAGCUGUAAAGAUUGAAUAUAUUAAUUAAGAUAACAUUUGGAAUUGUCGUUUUAUAAUAUUUUUUAAUAUUAUAUUACUUGAUAAUAUACCAAUGUUAUAAAAUAUUCAAUUUGAAUGCGGUGAAUGUAAUAAUUUCAAGUAACAUGUAUAAAAUAUUUAUAUUUUAUUAGUUAUCUGAAUUUUCAAGUGGAGGGCAAGUCUGGUGCCAGCAGCCGCGGUAAUACCAGCUCCACUAGCUUAUACAAUCAUUGUUGCGGUUAAGAGGCUCGUAGUUGGAUUGAAUAAAACAUAUAUACACAAUACUGUGAACAAACCAGAGUGUAUAAAACAUGUAAUAUAUUAUAUAUUUAGCAAUGAAUGUUUUAUCAUGGAAUAUUGCUAUAAUGAAUAUUAAUAUCGAUGGAGAUAGUUGGAGUUAAGAGUACUGAUAGGCGAGCGGUGAAAUGCAUUGACCCUAUUAAGACUAACAAAAGCGAAAGCACUUAACUAGAUUAUUCUCUUUGUAUUAUUUUACAAUGAAGAGCGAAGGUUGGGGGAACAAAGAGGAUCAGAUACCCUCGUAGUCCUAUUUUUACAUCAAACUAUGGGAUUUCAUUCACACUAAACACUAAACAUUAUAAUUAUAAUUAUGAUUGAGUAUAUGUCAAAAUAUUACUCUCAUAUUAAAUAAUUAUUAUAUAUAUGAUUAUAUGUACUUUGAGCUCAUAUAAUUAUAUAGGUGAGAUGUAAGCAUUAUAAAGUGAAUAAUAUACAAGUAAUAUUGUAUUAUUAUGAUCUUUAAAAUAAAAAAUGUAAUGUGAUGCACGUUUUAGGUACGAGCUUACUAUAGAAAUAUUUAAAAUAAUACCCUCCUGGGGUAGUAUGCACGCANNNNNNNNNNNUGAAGGAAUUGACGGAAGGGCACCACAAGAACGCGUGGAGCAUGUGGCUUAAUUUGACUCAACCCGGGAAAUCUUACCAGGUCCAGACAUAUUGAGGAUUGACAGGCGAUAGUAUAUAAUUCAUUUAUAUGCAUAAAAAUGAUAGUCCUUUCAUGAUUAUAUGAUAGGUGGUGCAUGGCCGUUCUUAGUUCGUGGAGUGAUUUGUCUGCUUAAUUGCGUUUCAGUAAAUAAAAUAUAUAAUAUAUUAUAAUAUUUAGUUCUGCCUUGAAUAUUAUUCAAGGAUUUAAAGUGAACAUAUUAUAUAUAUUAUUAUAUAAUAAAUGAAUGCAACGA